RNAcentral lists this ribosomal RNA (472 nucleotides) under uncultured bacterium. RNAcentral describes it as "bacterial SSU rRNA". It matches the Rfam family "Bacterial small subunit ribosomal RNA", at positions 36 to 518 of the family's 1533-position model. The record is from RNAcentral.
CUGGCGGCGUGCUUAACACAUGCAAGUCGAACGGAGAUAAGAGAAAGCUUGCUUUUCUUAUCUUAGUGGCGGACGGGUGAGUAACGCGUGGGCAACCUACCCUGUACAGGGGGAUAGCAGUUGGAAACGACUGAUAAAACCGCAUAAAACGGCAGUACCGCAUGGUACAACCGUCAAAUAUUCAUAGGUACAGGAUGGGCCCGCGUCUGAUUAGCUAGUUGGUGGGGCAACGGCCUACCAAGGCGACGAUCAGUAGCCGGCCUGAGAGGGUGAACGGCCACAUUGGGACUGAGACACGGCCCAAACUCCUACGGGAGGCAGCAGUGGGGAAUAUUGGACAAUGGGGGAAACCCUGAUCCAGCGAACCGCCGCGUGAGUGAAGAAGUAUUUCGGUAUGUAAAGCUCUAUCAGCAGGGAAGAUGAUGACGGUACCUGACUAAGAAGCACCGGCUAAAUACGUGCCAGCCGCUGC